AACGGGUGCGGAACACGUACGCAACCUACCCUGAACAGGGGCAUAGCCCGGGGAAACCCGGAUUAAUACCCCGUACGAUACUGGUGGUGGCAUCACUGUAGUAUCAGAAGCCCUUCACGGGGCGCUUUGGGAUGGGCGUGCGGUGAUUAGGUAGUUGGCGGGGUAAUGGCCCACCAAGCCUACGAUCAGUAACUGGUGUGAGAGCACGACCAGUCACACGGGCACUGAGACACGGGCCCGACUCCUACGGGAGGCAGCAGUAAGGAAUAUUGGGCAAUGGAGGCAACUCCGAACCAGCCAUGCCGCGUGAAGGAUGAAGGUCCUCUGGAUUGUAAACUUCUUUUAUGUGGGAAGAAAUGCAUUCUUUAUAGAGUGUUUGACGGUACCAUAGGAAUAAGCACCGGCUAACUCCGUGCCAGCAGCCGCG
This 427-nucleotide ribosomal RNA is filed under the name uncultured bacterium. RNAcentral describes it as "bacterial SSU rRNA". It matches the Rfam family "Bacterial small subunit ribosomal RNA", at positions 101 to 519 of the family's 1533-position model. The record is from RNAcentral.